AGAGUUUGAUCAUGGCUCAGAGUGAACGCUGGGCGGCAGGCCUAACACAUGCAAGUCGAGCGGCAGCGCGGGGGCAACCCUGGCGGCGAGCGGCGGACGGGUGAGGAAUGCAUCGGAAUCUACCUCGUUGUGGGGGAUAACCUCGGGAAACCGGGACUAAUACCGCAUACGACCUACGGGUGAAAGUGGGGGACCUUCGGGCCUCACGCGAUGAGAUGAGCCGAUGCCGGAUUAGCUAGUUGGCGGGGUAAAGGCCCACCAAGGCGACGAUCCGUAGCUGGUCUGAGAGGAUGAUCAGCCACACUGGAACUGAGACACGGUCCAGACUCCUACGGGAGGCAGCAGUGGGGAAUAUUGGACAAUGGGCGCAAGCCUGAUCCAGCCAUGCCGCGUGUGUGAAGAAGGCCUUCGGGUUGUAAAGCACUUUUGUUGGGGAAGAAACCGGCCGGAUUAAUACUUCGGUUGAAUGACGGUACCCAAAGAAUAAGCACCGGCUAACUUCGUGCCAGCAGCCGCGGUAAUACGAAGGGUGCAAGCGUUACUCGGAAUUACUGGGCGUAAAGCGUGCGUAGGCGGUUUGUUAAGUCUGUCGUGAAAGCCCCGGGCUCAACCUGGGAAUGGCGAUGGAUACUGGCAAGCUAGAGUGUGUCAGAGGAUGGUGGAAUUCCCGGUGUAGCGGUGAAAUGCGUGAGAGAUCGGGAGGAACACCAGUGGCGAAGGCGGCCAUC
This 728-nucleotide ribosomal RNA is filed under the name uncultured Dokdonella sp. RNAcentral's name for it is "bacterial SSU rRNA". It matches the Rfam family "Bacterial small subunit ribosomal RNA", at positions 8 to 729 of the family's 1533-position model. Lineage: Bacteria; Pseudomonadati; Pseudomonadota; Gammaproteobacteria; Lysobacterales; Rhodanobacteraceae. The record is from RNAcentral.